Long non-coding RNA from Symphalangus syndactylus (siamang), 745 nucleotides. RefSeq lists it as uncharacterized. The record is from RefSeq and is a predicted model, not a curated record. Lineage: Eukaryota; Metazoa; Chordata; Mammalia; Primates; Hylobatidae.
AAGUGGUCCUUCUUCACAGUCAUAUGUCUCAUUCUGCAAGCCAAAGACUCAAUGAGGAAGAUAACAUUUAAUGGGUUCUCAUUUACUAUAUACUAAACCAUAAUCAAGAACUAGCAUCAUAUAGCUAAAGCUAAAACCUCCUGAGCACUAGACCCCAGUUGGCCUCUGCAAAGGGCAGGCAGUGAGACAAUCUCCAUGGAUUAUGUAUAAAGCAAGCUCAUUGCAGAAGCUCAUGUGGAAGAAGAGACAGAUUUACAAGACUGAGAGAAGAAUCAGUUGCUUUUCCUUCACAACACAUCCUGGCAUUGGUUAUUGACCAUAGUGCAUUUUACCUAGGUUACUUGACAUAGAAACAGAGACAGGACCCACAUUUACAGUUAUGGUUACCAUCUCUUGCUGUGUGACAGAAUCACCUGGGGAAAUCGCAAACAUACCUCUGUCCUGGCCCACACUCGGACAAAUUAAAUCAUAAUCUUCACAAAUCUCCAUACCAAGUUACUACCAUCAGUAUAUAGUCAGUUGAGGAAAACUAUCCCAUAAGCUCUAGCUGAAGAAGGAAUAAUUGGCAGCAGCAUCUGCAAGUGAUCAGUCACACCUUUUGAAUCAGUUCACUCUUUGUGCUCAACUGAGAAUUCUGCAACUCUCCAUUAUUAGCAGGUGAAGGAGUCCAAGGAGGCCUGCAUAUGGCCAGCUGGCUUCAUUGAAUCAUCCUGUGAUGGCAACACCAGCUAGGAAAAAAGAAUCC